CACUAUCGUUACUGAAUACAUAGGUUAACGAGGCGAACCGGGGGAACUGAAACAUCUAAGUACCCCGAGGAAAAGAAAUCAACCGAGAUUCCCCCAGUAGCGGCGAGCGAACGGGGAGCAGCCCAGAGUCUGAAUCAGCUUGUGUGUUAGUGGAACGGUCUGGAAAGUCCGACGGUACAGGGUGAUAGUCCCGUACACCAAAAUGCACAGGUUGUGAACUCGAAGAGUAGGGCGGGACACGUGGUAUCCUGUCUGAAUAUGGGGGGACCAUCCUCCAAGGCUAAAUACUCCUGACUGACCGAUAGUGAACCAGUACCGUGAGGGAAAGGCGAAAAGAACCCCGGCGAGGGGAGUGAAAAAGAACCUGAAACCGUGUACGUACAAGCAGUGGGAGCACCUUCGGGUGUGACUGCGUACCUUUUGUAUAAUGGGUCAGCGACUUAUAUUCUGUAGCAAGGUUAACCGUAUAGGGGAGCCGCAGGGAAACCGAGUCUUAACUGGGCGUUAAGUUGCAGGGUAUAGACCCGAAACCCGGUGAUCUAGCCAUGGGCAGGUUGAAGGUUGGGUAACACUAACUGGAGGACCGAACCGACUAAUGUUGAAAAAUUAGCGGAUGACUUGUGGCUGGGGGUGAAAGGCCAAUCAAACCGGGAGAUAGCUGGUUCUCCCCGAAAGCUAUUUAGGUAGCGCCUCGUGAAUUCAUCUUCGGGGGUAGAGCACUGUUUCGGCUAGGGGGUCAUCCCGACUUACCAACCCGAUGCAAACUACGAAUACCGAAGAAUGUUAUCACGGGAGACACACGGCGGGUGCUAACGUCCGUCGUGAAGAGGGAAACAACCCAGACCGCCAGCUAAGGUCCCAAAGUCAUGGUUAAGUGGGAAACGAUGUGGGAAGGCACAGACAGCCAGGAUGUUGGCUUAGAAGCAGCCAUCAUUUAAAGAAAGCGUAAUAGCUCACUGGUCGAGUCGGCCUGCGCGGAAGAUGUAACGGGGCUAAACCAUGCACCGAAGCUGCGGCAGCGACACUAUGUGUUGUUGGGUAGGGGAGCGUUCUGUAAGCCUGCGAAGGUGUGCUGUGAGGCAUGCUGGAGGUAUCAGAAGUGCGAAUGCUGACAUAAGUAACGAUAAAGCGGGUGAAAAGCCCGCUCGCCGGAAGACCAAGGGUUCCUGUCCAACGUUAAUCGGGGCAGGGUGAGUCGACCCCUAAGGCGAGGCCGAAAGGCGUAGUCGAUGGGAAACAGGUUAAUAUUCCUGUACUUGGUGUUACUGCGAAGGGGGGACGGAGAAGGCUAUGUUAGCCGGGCGACGGUUGUCCCGGUUUAAGCAUGUAGGCUGGUUGUCCAGGCAAAUCCGGAUAAUCAAGGCUGAGGUGUGAUGACGAGGCACUACGGUGCUGAAGUAACAAAUGCCCUGCUUCCAGGAAAAGCCUCUAAGCAUCAGGUAACAUUAAAUCGUACCCCAAACCGACACAGGUGGUCAGGUAGAGAAUACCAAGGCGCUUGAGAGAACUCGGGUGAAGGAACUAGGCAAAAUGGUGCCGUAACUUCGGGAGAAGGCACGCUGGUGUGUAGGUGAAGUCCCUGCGGAUGGAGCUGAGACCAGUCGAAGAUACCAGCUGGCUGCAACUGUUUAUUAAAAACACAGCACUGUGCAAACACGAAAGUGGACGUAUACGGUGUGACGCCUGCCCGGUGCCGGAAGGUUAAUUGAUGGGGUUAUCCGUAAGGAGAAGCUCUUGAUCGAAGCCCCGGUAAACGGCGGCCGUAACUAUAACGGUCCUAAGGUAGCGAAAUUCCUUGUCGGGUAAGUUCCGACCUGCACGAAUGGCGUAAUGAUGGCCAGGCUGUCUCCACCCGAGACUCAGUGAAAUUGAACUCGCUGUGAAGAUGCAGUGUACCCGCGGCAAGACGGAAAGACCCCGUGAACCUUUACUAUAGCUUGACACUGAACAUUGAGCCUUGAUGUGUAGGAUAGGUGGGAGGCUUUGAAGCGUGGACGCCAGUCUGCGUGGAGCCAACCUUGAAAUACCACCCUUUAAUGUUUGAUGUUCUAACGUUGGCCCCUGGACCGGGGUUGCGGACAGUGUCUGGUGGGUAGUUUGACUGGGGCGGUCUCCUCCCAAAGCGUAACGGAGGAGCACGAAGGUUAGCUAAUCCUGGUCGGACAUCAGGAGGUUAGUGCAAUGGCAUAAGCUAGCUUGACUGCGAGCGUGACGGCGCGAGCAGGUGCGAAAGCAGGUCAUAGUGAUCCGGUGGUUCUGAAUGGAAGGGCCAUCGCUCAACGGAUAAAAGGUACUCCGGGGAUAACAGGCUGAUACCGCCCAAGAGUUCAUAUCGACGGCGGUGUUUGGCACCUCGAUGUCGGCUCAUCACAUCCUGGGGCUGAAGUAGGUCCCAAGGGUAUGGCUGUUCGCCAUUUAAAGUGGUACGCGAGCUGGGUUUAGAACGUCGUGAGACAGUUCGGUCCCUAUCUGCCGUGGGCGCUGGAGAAUUGAGGGGGGCUGCUCCUAGUACGAGAGGACCGGAGUGGACGCAUCACUGGUGUUCGGGUUGUCAUGCCAAUGGCACUGCCCGGUAGCUAAAUGCGGAAGAGAUAAGUGCUGAAAGCAUCUAAGCACGAAACUUGCCCCGAGAUGAGUUCUCCCUGAGACUUUAAGUCUCCUGAAGGAACGUUGAAGACGACGACGUUGAUAGGCCGGGUGUGUAAGCGCAGCGAUGCGUUGAGCUAACCGGUACUAAUGAACCGUGAGGCUUAACCUUACAACGCCGAAG
Molecule: ribosomal RNA, 2770 nt
Filed under: Klebsiella pneumoniae
Lineage: Bacteria; Pseudomonadati; Pseudomonadota; Gammaproteobacteria; Enterobacterales; Enterobacteriaceae
Description: bacterial LSU rRNA
Rfam family: Bacterial large subunit ribosomal RNA
Source: RNAcentral